RNAcentral lists this unclassified non-coding RNA (274 nucleotides) under uncultured fungus. RNAcentral's name for it is "partial contains 5.8S ribosomal RNA, internal transcribed spacer 2, and large subunit ribosomal RNA". The stretch from base 1 to 52 matches the Rfam family "5.8S ribosomal RNA", at positions 103 to 154 of the family's 154-position model. The record is from RNAcentral. Lineage: Eukaryota; Fungi.
AACGCAUAUUGCGCCCUUUGGUAUUCCGAAGGGCAUGCCUGUUCGAGCGUCAUUAUCACCCCUCAAGCCCGGCUUGUUGUUGGACCACGCCCCGCCUCGCGGCGGGACGGGCCCCAAAGAUAAUGACGGCGUCUGUGAGGACUCCAGUACACUGAGCUUUCGGGCACGUACUCGGCUAGAAAUUCAGACCCGUCCAACCCUUUUCGCCUCCGCAAGGAGCCGAAAUACCACCAAGGUUGACCUCGGAUCAGGUAGGAAUACCCGCUGAACUUAA